CAGGUAAUUCCCAAACCACACCAUUAUACUAUCCACUAGUGAGCAUCGUUUUUCUACUAACAUGUGAUGCAAUAUGAACAGCACUUCCAACCUCACCAAUCCUGGUUCAUAGCUCAUCAACCAAAGUGGCAUUGUUUAGUCUUUCUUGUUAAAGUUUAGUCCUGAAAGAAAGCAUACGUGUUAAACCCCAAAAGAAAAAUAUAGCUAAUUAAACCCUAAAAGAAAAAUAUAGCUAAGUAUCCCAAAAAUAAUUUCAUGACAUGACCAGAUAAAUCAUUAGCAAAAAGAACAAAAAUCUAAUGCCUUGAUGCUUUGCUAAUUAACUUCUUCACAUAUUAUUUAUGUGUUGCAGAACUAGCUUCUUCAACGAAGGUGACAGCGAAAUGCGAUGUAUAUAGUUUUGGCGUUGUUGCAUUAGAAGUGCUAAUGGGGAAGCACCCCCAGGAACUCCUCCUAUCUCUGCAAUCUGGAGAGUAUAAUCUGCUGCUUGCCAAUAUUUUUGAUAAGAGGCUCACGCCUCCAAGUGGUCACAUUAUGCAAGAUCUGGUUUUAGCAGCAACACUAGCCUUGAUAUGCAUAAGUGAAAAUCCCAUGUCAAGACCCACGAUGCGUCAAGUAUCCAGCGAACUGCUAACAGGAGCACGUCUUCCUCUCUCCAUACCUUUGCACCUGCUCACACUGCAGAACUUGAUGGAUAUGUUUUCUCAUGUUGGAUCCCAACAAGCAACAAGGCCCUAGCAAAGUUCCAGCAGGCAAAAUCUCUCCCUCUCUCUGCACCUUUCCACAAGCUCGUAUUGCGGAAGUUUCUGUCUAAAGUUUUCCAAAAUAUACCUGUCGAACAAGUUGUCUUAAAUGUACUUCUCAGUUUAGCUAAUCAUCUACUUUCAUCUAGUUAUCAGAUUCAACAUACUUUGAUUCUAUAUCCUUCUUCAUCUCCUAGGGAAUCACAAAUAGAUAAUUUCUUCCACAAGCAAAGCAAUGGGUAAAUGAUUAGAUAGAAAAUCACCUGAUUAUGCAACAGCAUCACAACAUUGAAACACACACUCUCGGUGCUUCAAAAACUGGAAACAAGAAUAAGAAUCUCGUUCUGACUUGGGCCAGACAUAACAGGAUAUGAACUCUUCGAUAACCUAUAAACUUGCUGAGAACCUGAAAGAACGCACAUACGCAAAUUAAACUAACACGAAAUUACUAAAAGGGAGAACAGACAUAAAUUUCAGACUAGUAAUUUGCAUAUAACGAAUGUCAUGACCGAUGAUAAGGAUAAAGAAGUUGGAUUAAAACUAUUGCAUAACUUCUACCGAUUUAACUAGUACUUGAACUUGAUGAUGAGGUUAUGACCGUCACUAUGUAAUUUGGCGUGAAAUAAGAAACCGCACGCAAAGCCCGCCUCACCUCUCCGCUAGCCUGCGUGCUUUUAGGGAUGGUAGUGCCGUAGUGGGGUGGGGGUGGGGAGGCCUGCCCAUUCCCCCGUCAUAUUAAAAAUUUCGUUUCCAUUUUUCAUUUCAUCUCCUAAGAUGAAAAUAGAGAAUCCGAAUUCUCC
RNAcentral lists this long non-coding RNA (1543 nucleotides) under Citrus maxima (pomelo). Its description in RNAcentral is "long non-coding RNA (CMAX_LNC002555)". The record is from RNAcentral. Lineage: Eukaryota; Viridiplantae; Streptophyta; Magnoliopsida; Sapindales; Rutaceae.